UGAGAACGGGGAUAUGGCGAAA
Molecule: transfer RNA, 22 nt
Filed under: Phyllocladus aspleniifolius
Lineage: Eukaryota; Viridiplantae; Streptophyta; Pinopsida; Araucariales; Podocarpaceae
Description: partial tRNA-Leu
Source: RNAcentral